UAACUUGAGCAAUCUACUUUAGACAAUCUAGAUAAUGUAGGUGCUUUGGAUAAUCGAAUUUAAUCACACAUUAUAUUAGAUUAUCAUCGAAGAACAAAGGAGCGUGAAUGUGAGACUCAGUGUAUCGUAUUAAUCAAAGCAUGGAAGAUGGAGGUUAAAUUUAAAGGAGAUUCUCGAGAUUCGCGAGUCCUCGUAGAAGCAAGUUGCUCGAAAAUUUGCAAUGGGGAGAAUAUCGAAGGGCCAUCGCUAACCAGUGGUGGGAGAAGUAGAACGCAUCGGCACCAGGGUGAGAGGCAGCGGGUUCAGGAGAACGCGCAGCCGCAAAAGGGCAGGGUGGGAAGGCUGUUAGUUCGGAGGUCUUUCAAGGGGUGGUCUGUCAGUUUACCGGAUGACCGCGUGAGCGCGCUGCCGCGCAAGACCAACCCUCUAUUCGCGCUACAUCCGGCGAACGUGACUGAUCGUUUCGUUCGAUUCUCGAACCGUUGCAAAACAUUCGGUUUUUCGCUCGAUCAAUUUCGCGAUUUCUUUCGUAUUCCUUCUUUCUCUCGCUUAAACCUUCUUCGAUUCUUUUUCAAUCGGUUAUUCGUGAUUUUAUCCGCUAAUGUGCUAUAAUCCACGUUGGGUUGGAAAGUCACCACCACCUAUCGACCGCCGUCACUGACCGGUCCGUUUUUCGCACUUUUGCCCUUUUUUCACACCGACCGUCUUCACUUUGGAUCCUGUAUCGUUCUCGAUCCGAUCUCGAAGCCUCUUCUCAUCUUGCGCGGCUCUACACGACUCUUGCCCAGUUUUCGUGGCCGUAAACCAACUUCGAAGCAAAAAAGGACAUUACAGUGUACCUCUGUGUCAAUCGAAUGGUAAAUUAAUCGGGAGGAAGAGAAAGAAAGAAGAGGAGGGCAAAAGAGAAAAAAAAGGAAGAAAGGGAGGAAGAGCAGGGGACGGAAGGAGCAAGAGUUACAGUUACAAAGGAGGGAGGAGAAUGAGAAGGAGGGAGAAGUGAUUCCUUUCCUCGCGUAGAAUAGUGUGUAGUGUAUUCUUGGUGGAUGGUAUCGCAAGGAUCGGUAGCUGGUUCGUGAUGGGGGUGGGAAACAGUUUAUCAGACGUGGUCGCUACAAGUAGUCCACCAGAAAGAUAAUGCAGAUAAAUGUUUCCGGAGGGAAGAGCGGACAAGUAACAGAGGAUUACAUAUUGUCAGAUCCGGUACGCGAUUUCCUGACAAGCAGCGUUUCACUCAACAAUGGAUUCAACGAUGACGGACGAUGACAAUUACCCCAAUUACGCGAAAGAGAAAAUCGACAAAUCACUUUCGUAAUUUUUGACGAGAUCGAUUAAAACGAACGAGUCUGCCGCGACUCGUCUAUUUAAUUCCCUAAUAAUAGCCAGCGACGAGUUACUUUAUUUUUCUCUCUCGCCACCAAGAAGCCUACUAAGCCUACCAAGACUCGGUUAACACGCUUAACGCGGUCACCCUUCUUGCCUCGGUAAGGAUUUCACGUCGAGCGAAAACGAAAAAGAUGGAGCCAGAAGCGCGGAAGCAACGAUCAUGGCGGCACCGCCACCAGCGCCACCACCGGUAUCGCGAGCAGCAACCACGGCGCGAGCAACAACAGUUGACGAGAAAACGGAAUGCGUGGAACGUUCGAACAACGUUAAAGGAACGUCCCUCGAAUGGUAACCGGGAGGGAUGGAUGCUCAGUUCGCGUCGAUGAGCUCGUUAUUCGUUUCCCUGCUCUCUUGUGUCCGGAUAAUAACCGAGAAUGAGAUCGCCCGAUCACAACACCUUCCUAUCCGCGCGAAGGUUCUCGAUCAACUCGGUCUCGACGUUGCGUACGCAUAAGAAGGAACGAUUGGAGGAUGGGGCAGCGCGGGGGGCGAAGUGAAGCGUGUACCUCGCGUCGACUCGAUACAGUCAAUUAACUUGCCUCUCGAUUCGCAAUUAAAUUUAAGGGGGAGGAGGAGUCAAACGCUUUCAAAUGCGCGCAAUGAGAUAGUCACCGUUCGGGGCGAGAGAUUAGCCCGAGCUCGAGGCCGGGUUUAAUAAUAAAGCCAUAAUUAAAAAGUGACGAAGAGAAAGAAGAAGAACAGUCGAGAAAGUGUUUCGGAUAGAGGCCGCCAGGAUGGUUGUUGGAGGGGAGACGUUCGUCCAACGGCGAUACUUGCCCGGCAUUUUGACGGCCGCUUACUUCUGCGCCUUCGUUUUCUGGAUCGAUGGGAUGAGGGAUUGUGCCGGUCAAAGGCCGAUAAAUCUGGGCGGAGCGAGGAAAAGGACGUAUACAUCGCUGGAUUUUUCCCUUCGGACCCCACGUGCCCGAGAGCCACAUCGGCCGCGGCGUAAUGCCCUCGGUCAAGCUCGCCGUCGAUCAUAUCAACGAGGAUCGGAUCGUCCUCAGGAACUAUCGGCUGCACAUGUGGUGGAACGACACGGAGUGCAACGCCGCUGUUGGCGUGAAGGCAUUCUUCGAUAUGAUGCACAGUGGGCCGCACAAAGUGAUGCUAUUCGGCGCAGCUUGCACGCACGUCACUGAUCCCAUCGCCAAAGCAUCGAAGCAUUGGCGUCUCACACAGCUUAGCUACGCGGACACACACCCGAUGUUUACAAGCGAUAGCUUCCCAAAUUUCUUUAGGGUGGUGCCUUCUGAGAACGCGUUCAACGCUCCCCGUGUGGCGCUUUUAUUGCACUUCAAUUGGACUCGCGUCGGAACCAUUUAUCAAAACGAGCCGCGAUACGCUCUGGCACACAAUCGAUUGGUCGCCGAUCUCGACAGCAAUAGCAUGGAAGUGGUGGAGACGCAAAGCUUCGCCACCGAGGUGACCACAGCGCUGGAAAAAUUGAAGGAGAAGGACGUUAGAAUAAUUUUGGGCAACUUCAACGAAACAUGGGCCAGGCGAAUAUUCUGCGAGGCGCACAAAUUCGAUAUGUUCGGGAGAAAAUAUCAAUGGGUGAUCAUGGGUACUUACACGGAGGAAUGGUGGCUCCAUCCUGACGAGGAAUGCAAUUCCUCCGAUUUGGUGGAGGCAUUGCACGGCGCUAUAUUGACAGACUUGUUGCCAAUCACAACGGAGAAGAGGAAGACUAUAGCUGGAAUAACAACCGAACAAUACCGGGUCGAGUAUGACUCGAGACGAGGCAAAGAGUAUUCGAGAUUUCACGGAUAUUCGUACGACGGUAUAUGGGCAGUAGCUUUAGCUAUACAACGGGUCGCAAGCAGGAUAACACACUACCGUCGCAAUCAGACCAUGUCAGAUUUCAGAUACAGGGACGAGCUUUGGGAGAAGCUUUUUCUGGAAGCUCUGAGAAACACCAGCUUCGAGGGCGUCACGGGGCCGGUGCGUUUCUACGAUAACGAAAGGAAAGCGUAUAUUCUUUUGAAACAGUUUCAAGGCGACAGAGAGGUAAAAGUUGGCGAGUACGACGGCGUGACAGAUAUUUUAGAUUUGAACAAGGGCGAGCCUUUGAUCUGGAAGGGGAAAUCACCGCCCAAAGAUCGAACUCUUCACAUCAUCGAGCAUUCGACCGUAAAUAUUACGAUCUACGCUGUGCUCACUUCCGCGGCGAGCGUGGGCAUCACCAUGGCGGCUAUUUUUCUCGUCAUCAAUAUCAAAUACCGAAAUCAAAGAUACAUAAAAAUGUCAUCGCCGCAUUUAAACAACCUCAUUAUCGUCGGAUGCAUGCUGACCUACAGCAGUGUAAUUUUCCUUGGGUUAGAUUCGCAGCUGUCCAGUGAAACGGCAUUUCCCUACAUUUGCACCGCCAGAGCAUGGCUAUUGAUGGCUGGUUUCUCCUUGGCGUUUGGUUCCAUGUUCUCGAAAACAUGGCGAGUACACUCGAUAUUUACCGACGUUAAAUUGAACAAGAAGGUGAUAAAAGAUUACCAAUUGUUCAUGGUGGUCGGUGUAUUAUUGUUUAUUGAUCUGGGUAUUAUGACGACCUGGCAGGUUGCGGAUCCAUUUUACCGAGAAACGAAACAAAUGGAACCUUAUCCUCAUCCUUCCAGCGAAGAUAUUAUCAUAAUACCGGAAAACGAGUACUGUCAAAGUAAUCGAAUGACCAUUUAUUUAGGAUGUAUAUACGCUUAUAAAGGUCUUUUAAUGAUAUUCGGCGCCUUUUUGGCAUGGGAAACAAGGCAUGUUAGUAUUCCGGCGUUAAACGAUAGCAAAUACGUCGGAAUGAGCGUAUACAACGUUGUGAUCAUGUGUGUCACUGGAGCGGCUAUAAGCUUCGUGUUGGCUGACAAACAAGAUGCCAUGUUUAUUAUGUUGGCGAUAUUUAUUAUAUUCUGCAGCACCGCCACCUUGUGCUUGGUUUUUGUACCAAAGCUAAUAGAAUUGCGAAGAAAUCCCCAAGGUACGAUAGACAAACGAAUUAGAGCAACGCUUAGGCCAGUGUCGAAAACGCGAAGGGACUCGAGCGUUAGCGAAUUGGAGGAACGUCUGAAGGAAGCGACGUUAGCGAAUCAAAAAUUUCGUAAACAAUUGUUGGAAAAAGAUUCAGAACUUCAGAUGUUUCUACGGAGGCUUGAUGAUCAAACCACAUCGAAUACACAGGAAGCAAUGGAUAGGUUAACAGUUCCGAGGCAGGAAGCAACAAUGGUGAAAAAAGAAGGUUUGUCCCUUGCGACAGAGACAACGGACAUUUCUAUAUCAAUGUGCAGUCUGAAUUCAACCACCAUCUCUCAACCAGAAGGCGUCGAUUAUGCGAGCACAAUCGCGACCGAACAACCGAUCAGCAAGAAAAAGACAUCGUUCUCGAAGUUACCGGCGAUCGCAAUCGACAGCGAACGAACACCUCUGGUCCCACAAUCCCAAGAAACCACGAAAGGAACCGCGGAUUUUUCGUCCUCCCCUCUACCUUCGGUUUUGAAGCAUACAACAGACGAUUCCGGCCAUAGAAGAAGUCGUGCCUCCAUACUUGGAAAAGAGAGUGAACCUCUUCUUGCGGAGAGAAGUCCGGACUCGCGAUCGGAUACCGGUAAAACGAACGUCGAAUUCGUACCGGAGAUCGUCGAGGAGGGUGACGCCAUUAUCCUCGAAGAGACCGAAAUUCCCAGGCAUGGAAAGUUGAUCAGAAGCAAAGAGGAUCGUAGAUCCAGGCUGCCGACACCUCCGCCGACAAAGAACGUCUCGUUCGGUGAACUUCACGAGCAGAACUACCUCGAGCAAGCGAUUCUACCACCUCCCUCGCAAUUCGUGCCCAAGCAUCGACAUUCCGUUUCGGCGACAAAUGCAUCCGCUCAUCAAUCAUUAAAGAGAAGAUCGUCGGUGAAGAGCAACGGAAUGGCUCAUUCCCAUCACGAGUUGUUUCAAACUCGGAGAACCAGCGUACCAGUCAAUUGCAUCAGUUAUAUUUCGACUGAGAACGUCUCCAAGUCAGAGGCCGCCGAGUUCUCGCUCAACUCCGGUUUUGAUAAGUCUUAUAUAAUUGGUGAAUGCGGUCAUCGACGAGCAUUAUUCUCAGGUACUGGAUAUCGUUGCGAGAAACACGGAGGACGAGGACAUCGCGCUAUAUUGAAUGGUUCGGCGGAAACGCCGCCUCCUCCACGGAGACAUAAAAAACACUACGAUUCUCAAAAUGCAAGUUCUCCGAGUGUGCCUGCGAUGGUUAAUGCAAGUUACUCUGAUACCGAGAAAUACGAGGAAUCCAUGUCGACGAUUAUUCAACGAUCAGUGUCCGAAAGAUCGCGAGAAAAGUGUCCUCGGCUUCGAAGUGAGGGACACGCGAUGAUCGAAUGCCCUCAUCGUGCCACACGUCGGAUACGAGAGUGUAGACAUACCGAGUCUAAACUCCGACAACAGGCUCGUUUGGAAUACGUGCAAAGCACACCGAAUGUUGCCACAAUACACAAUAAUAAAUUCGCAAGCGCGAAUCCACGUGGAGGUGGUAGCACUGGGCCAGGUGGCGGUAGUGUGGCAGGAAGUGCGAAUGGCCCGGGAACAGCCAGCUCAGUGACCGCCAGUAGUUCAGACGUUGUUGGUGGUUCCGCGGCAAAUGUUUCUAAAAUGUAUAGCGCCGUAUCAGACGGCGAAUUACUCGAUCUAGCGAUAUUGCCGAUCUUUCAAAAGCUGCUCACCGAGAGGCACAAAAGUUCCUCGAGGGCCGGCUACGGCGCCAGCGUAGCCAGCUGUCCGAAUAUAUCUAUCAAAUGUGACAUCGUUGAAUACCUUUAACGAUCUUCCAUCUAUUAACUUCAAUUUUCAUUCCGGCGAUCUCGUUCUGUUUUCUCUCUUCUUUGAACACUCCUCUCCCUUAUUUUUCCCCUUACAUUUCUCAUCUCCUCUCUUUCUCUCUCUUUCUCUCUCUUUCUCCCUCCUGACGGCCUUCAGACGCGACAUCUAUCGUAAAACGUGUUCGCCAAUGUAUCGGCCGAGACAAUGAUAUUUUAUGAGAGCAAUCACCGUUCCUUUCUCGAGCCUGCCUAUCUUUGCGAUACUCUCGCGAAAAAACAUUGGAAGAAGCAGCAACGCUGCUCUUUCGAUAUGUGUAAAUAUUAGCAAGUGUCCGCUGGACUUAUGGACGAGAAGGAGACGUUAUCAACAAGAUUAAACGAAAGAAUACCGGCCUUUGUUCGACGCUCGAGAAUCUUUUAUCUCCUCGGUUAAUUAAUUUGACAAAAAUAGCCGCUCGCGGCAUAUUGUGAAAACGUUCUUCAGCAGAAUUCUACAGCGUCUGCACUUCAACACACAUUUCUCUUUCCAUCUUUGUGAUUUUUCGUUCCCCCAUCUCGAUUCUCGUCUCGAUGAUGAAAGGCCAUAUAAACAUUAACAAACAUACGACGCUUUCGCGUCCAUGAGAAAAUGAUUGACAAAGUCACGGUGACUCAUCAUUCUGAAACGCGGAAUCUCGGUUUUUAUAAUAAAUUAAUCGAAAAACAAGUUUGUUAUACAUGUUUGUCAUAACAAAAAAAAAAAAAAA
RNAcentral lists this unclassified non-coding RNA (6910 nucleotides) under Apis florea (little honeybee). Its description in RNAcentral is "gamma-aminobutyric acid type B receptor subunit 2, transcript variant X1". Lineage: Eukaryota; Metazoa; Arthropoda; Insecta; Hymenoptera; Apidae. The record is from RNAcentral.